RNAcentral lists this long non-coding RNA (778 nucleotides) under Papio anubis (olive baboon). RNAcentral describes it as "lncRNA (ENSPANG00000043501.1)". Lineage: Eukaryota; Metazoa; Chordata; Mammalia; Primates; Cercopithecidae. The record is from RNAcentral.
AUUUCAACAUUAAAUUUUGGUUGCACUACUAUGAUUUUGAUGACAAUAUCAAAAGUCUAAACACACCUCCUAGUUUAAAAGACCUACAAGAAAUAUUAUGUAAAAACUGUAUUCCUAAUGUUUUAAAUGCGAAAUAUGUUUUUCUAUUUUAGUCUGGCUAAGUUUUACUUUCUUCCCUGAGAGAAAGAAUAUGGAACAGCUGUAUGAUCUACGCAAUAGUUGAUGCAAAACUACAUCGAAUCUCCAUGCUAUUUGCCAUAUCUUUGUCAACUGAUAUCAGUAAAAGCGCCAUGACUUGGUUUCUCAAACAUACAAGUGAGAUCACUCUCCUCAUGGGCAACCUUCAACAUGCUGGAAGACCAACAGAGUGCAGUGGAAGAAGUCCUAGAAGAAACUCUGUGAAGAAUUCCUGUGACAAGUAUGCUGAAGAUUUUGACCCAUGGACUGAGAACAAAAUGCAACUUCAGUUUUGUCUCCCUCUGGUUGUAACUGUCUUGACCUGUAAUGAUUAAAUGUUUUUUACUUUGACUGGUGCCAUCCCAAAUGGACUGUCCUUGCUGGCCUUGAGGGAUGGUAACAUUCAACUGGUUUUUUUCGUCCCCACUUUUGAUCUCUGCAGAGGUUCUCUGAUAAUCCCAUAACUUAAGAAAAAAAAGGAGAAUGAACCUCUAUUCUAAGUAAUGGCUGAGUGCUGCAUCUUUAGCUGUUGGCAUUCCACAUUGCAACUUCUUCUUUCUGCUGAUGCCCCUUGAGGUAGCCCUGUGACACAGGAUCCAAA